AAUAUUGGGCAAUGGGCGCAAGCCUGACCCAGCCAUGCCGCGUGUGUGAAGAAGGCUUUCGGGUUGUAAAGCACUUUAAGUUGGGAGGAAGGCUGCUUAGUUAAUACCUAAGUAGAUUGACGUUACCAACAGAAUAAGCACCGGCUAAUUCCGUGCCAGCA
This 161-nucleotide ribosomal RNA is filed under the name uncultured bacterium. RNAcentral's name for it is "partial 16S ribosomal RNA". It matches the Rfam family "Bacterial small subunit ribosomal RNA", at positions 360 to 513 of the family's 1533-position model. The record is from RNAcentral.